Aspergillus versicolor CBS 583.65 is the source of this 96-nucleotide transfer RNA. It matches the Rfam family "tRNA". From Rfam's summary of the family: Transfer RNA (tRNA) molecules are approximately 80 nucleotides in length. Their secondary structure includes four short double-helical elements and three loops (D, anti-codon, and T loops). The record is from Rfam. NCBI's taxonomy places the organism in Eukaryota, Fungi, Ascomycota, Eurotiomycetes, Eurotiales, Aspergillaceae.
GGGGUGAUAGCUCAGUUGGGAGAGCGCACGACUGAAGUCUACUUUGGUUUGUUCAUUGGAAUCGUGAGGUCGCUGGUUCAAUCCCGGCUCAUCCCA